GGCGGCAGGCCUAACACAUGCAAGUCGAGCGGAAACGAGUUAUCUGAACCUUCGGGGAACGAUAACGGCGUCGAGCGGCGGACGGGUGAGUAAUGCCUAGGAAAUUGCCCUGAUGUGGGGGAUAACCAUUGGAAACGAUGGCUAAUACCGCAUAAUGCCUACGGGCCAAAGAGGGGGACCUUCGGGCCUCUCGCGUCAGGAUAUGCCUAGGUGGGAUUAGCUAGUUGGUGAGGUAAGGGCUCACCAAGGCGACGAUCCCUAGCUGGUCUGAGAGGAUGAUCAGCCACACUGGAACUGAGACACGGUCCAGACUCCUACGGGAGGCAGCAGUGGGGAAUAUUGCACAAUGGGCGCAAGCCUGAUGCAGCCAUGCCGCGUGUGUGAAGAAGGCCUUCGGGUUGUAAAGCACUUUCAGUCGUGAGGAAGGUAGUGUAGUUAAUAGCUGCAUUAUUUGACGUUAGCGACAGAAGAAGCACCGGCUAACUCCGUGCCAGCAGCCGCGGUAAUACGGAGGGUGCGAGCGUUAAUCGGAAUUACUGGGCGUAAAGCGCAUGCAGGUGGUUUGUUAAGUCAGAUGUGAAAGCCCGGGGCUCAACCUCGGAAUUGCAUUUGAAACUGGCAGACUAGAGUACUGUAGAGGGGGGUAGAAUUUCAGGUGUAGCGGUGAAAUGCGUAGAGAUCUGAAGGAAUACCGGUGGCGAAGGCGGCCCCCUGGACAGAUACUGACACUCAGAUGCGAAAGCGUGGGGAGCAAACAGGAUUAGAUACCCUGGUAGUCCACGCCGUAAACGAUGUCUACUUGGAGGUUGUGGCCUUGAGCCGUGGCUUUCGGAGCUAACGCGUUAAGUAGACCGCCUGGGGAGUACGGUCGCAAGAUUAAAACUCAAAUGAAUUGACGGGGGCCCGCACAAGCGGUGGA
Molecule: ribosomal RNA, 919 nt
Filed under: bacterium WP2ISO10
Lineage: Bacteria
Description: bacterial SSU rRNA
Rfam family: Bacterial small subunit ribosomal RNA
Source: RNAcentral